This 459-nucleotide ribosomal RNA is filed under the name uncultured bacterium. Its description in RNAcentral is "partial 16S ribosomal RNA". It matches the Rfam family "Bacterial small subunit ribosomal RNA", at positions 338 to 795 of the family's 1533-position model. The record is from RNAcentral.
CCUACGGGUGGCUGCAGUGAGGAAUAUUGGUCAAUGGCCGAGAGGCUGAACCAGCCAAGUCGCGUGAGGGAAGUCGGCCCUACGGGUUGUAAACCUCUUUUGUCGGGGAGCAAAGCGAGUCACGUGUGACUCAUUGAGAGUACCCGAAGAAAAAGCAUCGGCUAACUCCGUGCCAGCAGCCGCGGUAAUACGGAGGAUGCGAGCGUUAUCCGGAUUUAUUGGGUUAAAAGGGUGCGUAGGCGGGAUGCCAAGUCAGCGGUCAAAUACGGGGGCUCAACCUGCGUCCGCCGUUGAAACUGGCGUUCUUGAGUGGGCGAGAAGUACGCGGAAUGCGUGGUGUAGCGGUGAAAUGCAUAGAUAUCACGCAGAACCCCGAUUGCGAAGGCAGCGUACCGGCGCCCGACUGACGCUGAAGCACGAAAGCGUGGGUAUCGAACAGGAUUAGAUACCCGAGUAGUC